RNAcentral lists this ribosomal RNA (487 nucleotides) under uncultured Corynebacterium sp. Its description in RNAcentral is "bacterial SSU rRNA". It matches the Rfam family "Bacterial small subunit ribosomal RNA", at positions 8 to 507 of the family's 1533-position model. Lineage: Bacteria; Bacillati; Actinomycetota; Actinomycetes; Mycobacteriales; Corynebacteriaceae. The record is from RNAcentral.
AGAGUUUGAUCCUGGCUCAGGAUGAACGCUGGCGGCGUGCUUAACACAUGCAAGUCGAACGGAAAGGCCCAAGCUUGCUUGGGUACUCGAGUGGCGAACGGGUGAGUAACACGUGGGUGAUCUGCCCUGCACUUCGGGAUAAGCCUGGGAAACUGGGUCUAAUACCGGAUAGGACGAUGGUUUGGAUGCCAUUGUGGAAAGUUUUUUCGGUGUGGGAUGAGCUCGCGGCCUAUCAGCUUGUUGGUGGGGUAAUGGCCUACCAAGGCGUCGACGGGUAGCCGGCCUGAGAGGGUGUACGGCCACAUUGGGACUGAGAUACGGCCCAGACUCCUACGGGAGGCAGCAGUGGGGAAUAUUGCACAAUGGGCGCAAGCCUGAUGCAGCGACGUCGCGUGGGGGAUGACGGCCUUCGGGUUGUAAACUCCUUUCGCUAGGGACGAAGCGUUUUGUGACGGUACCUGGAGAAGAAGCACCGGCUAACUACGUG